UGCGUAGGUGGCGCGUUAAGUCCGUUGUGAAAUCCCUGGGCUCAACCCAGGAACUGCUUCGGAUACUGGCGUGCUUGAGGCCGGUAGGGGUCACUGGAACUGACGGUGGAGCGGUGAAAUGCGUAGAUAUCGUCAGGAACGCCGAUGGUGAAGACAGGUGACUGGGCCGGAACUGACACUGAGGCACGAAAGCGUGGGGAGCGAACGGGAUUAGAUACCCCGGUAGUCCACGCCCUAAACGACGCAGACUAGACUGCAGCGGGUUACACCCCGUUGCGGUCGGAGCGAAAUUGUUAAGUCUGCCACCUGGGAAGUACGGUCGCAAGGCUAAA
RNAcentral lists this ribosomal RNA (332 nucleotides) under uncultured bacterium. RNAcentral's name for it is "bacterial SSU rRNA". It matches the Rfam family "Bacterial small subunit ribosomal RNA", at positions 568 to 898 of the family's 1533-position model. The record is from RNAcentral.